GACGAACGCUGGCGGCGUGCUUAACACAUGCAAGUCGAACGCUGAAGCUCAGCUUUUGUUGGGUGGAUGAGUGGCGAACGGGUGAGUAACACGUGAGUAACCUGCCUCCUUCUUUGGGAUAACGCCCGGAAACGGGUGCUAAUACUGGAUAUUCACUGGUCUUCGCAUGGGGGUUGGUGGAAAGGGUUUUUCUGGUGGGGGAUGGGCUCGCGGCCUAUCAGCUUGUUGGUGGGGUGAUGGCCUACCAAGGCUUUGACGGGUAGCCGGCCUGAGAGGGUGACCGGUCACAUUGGGACUGAGAUACGGCCCAGACUCCUACGGGAGGCAGCAGUGGGGAAUAUUGCACAAUGGGCGGAAGCCUGAUGCAGCGACGCCGCGUGAGGGAUGGAGUCCUUCGUGUUGUGAACCUCUUUCGCUCAUGGUCAAGCCGCAACAAUGGUUGUGGUGAGGGUAGUGGGUAAAGAAGCGCCGGCUAACUACGUG
Molecule: ribosomal RNA, 483 nt
Filed under: uncultured bacterium
Lineage: Bacteria
Description: partial 16S ribosomal RNA
Rfam family: Bacterial small subunit ribosomal RNA
Source: RNAcentral